GUCAGAUCCAGAUGGAGUCUGGGGAGCUGUUCCAGGGGUUCAGGACAUCCCCCUGCUUUAUGCAUGGGCAAUUAUUAGGAAAACUUGAUACCACCUAAGACCUGUGAUUCAGCCCAUCAGGUUCUGGACAUCACCUUGGGCAUUUAUAGCCUGGGUUCCUGUGCUAGGAGCUGGGCCUGGGCCUCCUAAUUGCCUGAAUUAUCUUCCAUUUUUGCAUCUGGGACAAAGUCAAGUCCACAGGCAAGCCUGAUCUGAGGGUAUCCUCAAAUAUGGAACUGCACAGCAAGUAUGGGAAGAAAAAUUCUAAGGUAACCACUGUCUUUCUGGCCAGAAGAGGGGAUGAGGACCUUCUGUCAGCUGUCACCAGGGGUAGAGGGGAAGAUCAGCACUUUUUCUUGUUUUCCUCUUCUGGCCCUGCCUCAAGGAGAUCCCAGCCACGGAUCUGCGAAGUGGUAGUGGUAGCAGGCCCUACAACCUCAAGAGAAACCCCCCUUUCCCCUCUCUCUGACCAGAAAAACUGAGAAAAUGGUACCAUGACAUCCAAAGGUAUGGUGUUCAGGACAGGGACCUCAGUUUUUUCUUUUUUCUGUCACUGUUUUGCCCCAGCAAGAUCGUUCACACAGAAAUAAGCAAUAGAGCAGGUAGUUAAAACUCUGAGCUCUGUCUUUCUAUUCAGUGGAUAGGUAAAAGGGGUCCCUGGAAACGGUUGAGUACAUGAGAAAUCCUGUAGAGAAGAUAGCCGGGAAAGAGGGUUCCCUGACUCUGUGUAUGAAGUGACACAAGUUCCAGAUUCAUCCUUGAAAUGCACAUUCAUGGAACAGACCCAAAGCAUAGUAUCAGAGGCUGUGAGAACUUAACUCUAAUAUACACUGAAACCCUAGUCUCACAAUGACCCCUCAGAAGUGUGUGUAUGAGAUAGACCCAAGGCAGCAGAGCAAACACUUUAAAAAUUGAACUUACAUUAGAAAUACAGCUUGAAGAAGUUGAAACAGAACCUGUGGUCUGAAACUAACUAGACUGAUGGCUAAAACACAAUAAAACAAAUUGUGCUUUCUCCAAAAGAUUUUAACAGGACUCAAGAGUUUCAUGAAAUAACACACAAAAUGGGUAUGGUACAGUCUAAAAGUAUUCAACAAGAGGACCAGGAAAAUAUGAACAAUUCUUAAAGGAAAAAAAAGUCAACAAAUAAAAACUGCAACAUGACCUAUAUGUUGGGAUUAUCAGAUUUUAAAGCAACUCCAUGUUCCAGGAAGUAAUGCUAAAUUCCUUUGAAAUUAAUAAAAAAUUAAUAUUAGUGUUAGAAAUUACAAAAAUAUUAGAAAUGAAAAAGGUAAACAUCUGGAAUAUUAAAAAAAAUCACUAGACAGACACUAUAGCAGAAUGGAGAUGGCAGAGGAAAGAUUCAAAGAACUUGAAGACAUAAACAGAAAUUAUACAUUUGUAGAAAAAAGAAAAAAAUAUUGAAGAAAAUAUAAC
Long non-coding RNA from Camelus dromedarius (Arabian camel), 1476 nucleotides. RefSeq lists it as uncharacterized. The record is from RefSeq and is a predicted model, not a curated record. The transcript has 3 exons. Lineage: Eukaryota; Metazoa; Chordata; Mammalia; Artiodactyla; Camelidae.